This 459-nucleotide ribosomal RNA is filed under the name uncultured bacterium. RNAcentral describes it as "bacterial SSU rRNA". It matches the Rfam family "Bacterial small subunit ribosomal RNA", at positions 28 to 485 of the family's 1533-position model. The record is from RNAcentral.
GAUGAACGCUGGCGGCGUGCCUAACACAUGCAAGUCGAGCGAGAAUCUGCCGACGGAUCCCUUCAGGGUGAAGAUGGCAGAGGAAAGCGGCGGACGGGUGAGUAACGCGUGAGUAACCUGCCCUUAGGAGGGGGAUAACACAUCGAAAGGUGUGCUAAUACCGCAUGAUAUAUAUCAGCCGCAUGACUGAUAUAUCAAAGAUUUAUCGCCUAAGGAUGGACUCGCGUCUGAUUAGAUAGUUGGUGAGGUAACGGCUCACCAAGUCGACGAUCAGUAGCCGAACUGAGAGGUUGAUCGGCCACAUUGGGACUGAGACACGGCCCAGACUCCUACGGGAGGCAGCAGUCGGGAAUAUUGCGCAAUGGAGGAAACUCUGACGCAGUGACGCCGCGUAUAGGAAGAAGGUUUUCGGAUUGUAAACUAUUGUCUGCAGGGAAGAAACAAGACUGUACCUGCAAA